GUAUUUACACCUCUGUUUAAUCUAGCUCAUUUUUGUUCUGUUAUUAUUGUGCCUUUUUUAACCUCCAGUUUCAUUUAUUUGGAUAGUAAUUAAUUUCGGUUAAUUUUGAGAAUAUUUUUCUUUAUUAGGUUAUACCCUCAUGUGGUAUCUUUCCAGAAAAUAUUUAUUUAUUUGAUGCACACAAUUAUUUUUUUGUGACUUGGUCGAUGAUAGAGGUGGAUUUAGGAUUUGAACUUUAUGAAUUCGAGUUCGGCAUUCAACCAGACUACCACAUCCCAUUUGACUUACUGGGUUGAAAAUAUAUUAUUUGUACUUUUGUACUGAAUUUUGUAAUAAAAAGUAUGAGCUGGGUUUGGAAGAACUCAUAACAUUAACGCUACCCUAGCAGAUGAAUUGGAAAGAAACUUUGUACUCUUUCAUUUUUAGUUUGAUGACAAUUGAUCAAGAAAAGGUCUUAAGUGUUUGCGAUUUAUAUAAUUAUGUUGACUUUCUAUUAUUCGUGCAUACAUCUAUUUUGCAUUUGUUCUUUCAUAAGAUCUCUUUUUGAAGAGCAACCGAUUUCUGAGAUUGCAAAAUAUAAACUGUACUUUGCAUGAUGUUGCGCUUACUAUUUUGUUGUUGGUGGGUCCUGAGAUUGAAAAGUAUAAAAAUGUAUUUGCAGGAUGAUGUUCUUUGUGUUUUGUUAUUGGUGUUGAUCCAACGCUAUUUGUACUGAUGGCUUCAUCAAAAAUGUUAUUUGUACUGAUGGAGUUGGUUUGAUUCUGAACUGUUUGCUUUAAUUAUUGCUUCUUUUUCUGAUGUAGAAUUUUUAGUUGAACUUGAUGAGUUUUGUAUUAUGAUCAAAUUUGACAUUUUCUUUGUGUUAUUAUUGAAGUCGAUCAUCUUACCGAUUCUGGUUACACAGGUCGCAUAUACUGUGAUGUAUGACUCUUUCGACCUGGCCAAUAUUCUUCUCUAUCAUAUUGUUGUUACUUCUUCAAGUGUUUUGUAUAAAUUAUUAUAUUGGAAAUUCUUCUUUCAAAAUUUCCCCACACUUAUGUUCUUGAAGGUUGAGUUCAACUUCUAUGAUGCUGCCAGCUCAACAACUGCAUCUCUCAUCUCUUGUUCAUAUCCAAUGUGUGCUUCGACUGAGUGCUGGCUAUUAUGUGUCAGAUUUAUUAUAUUUUGAUACAGUCCCCGCGACCUCACUGAUUGCCAACUCUUCAACACAAAAAUCCAACUGAAAUUUUGUACCUAUUUCAAUUCUAUGAUGUUAAAAGCUAUAUUGUGGUAAUAAACAACAAAUGUAUGUUUCAGCAGAAUAUCCAAAAAGCUUGAAAACCACCAGACAAUAAUAAUGACAGAAACACGAAUUGUAAGUAUCAAUUCCAACAAAAAAUAAGUAAUAAAUUUUCUUCUCUCUUUUUUGGUUUCUAAUUGAGCAAAUACCACCGUGUUUUCCUUCUCAUUACUUUUAUCUUUUGCUUUGCAGAUUCAUGAAAUCCAUCCAAGAAGUCGGUCAGGGAGAAUCAGUGAAAUUGUCAAGAUAAAGUGAUAUGAAUAGGCAUCUCAUAUGAGCAGCUUAUGCAGUAGAACAACAUGAACUGGUAGAAGAGUUUUGUAGACAGAGUUGAGCAGUAUGAAAGUUUAAAAUACAGCUUAAGGAUGCUUUCCACACAAUUGAAGUGCAAGGACUGCUUCAGUAAAAAAAAAGAAAAAAAGAAACAACAUCCAUAAAAUGGAUGAUCAAGUGAAAUAUUACUUUGAUACAUAUAUUCUUUAUAAUUAACUCAAUUUAUUUGUGACUACCGCAACAAAUAAAGACAACUUUAGAAUUGUUGGGCCCAUGCUCAGCAUGGCCAUGAUUGUCUAGUACUUACUAAUAAGCGGUUAAGUUCUAUGGCACCUUGAAGGUGCAAAUGUUAUUUGUACAAUCAGAUCACUUAAAGGCAAUUACAAUUUACUCUAUUUAAUAGAAUUGAUUAGUAGCUUAAAAUAAAU
Molecule: long non-coding RNA, 1980 nt
Filed under: Nicotiana tabacum (common tobacco)
Lineage: Eukaryota; Viridiplantae; Streptophyta; Magnoliopsida; Solanales; Solanaceae
Description: long non-coding RNA (NTAB_LNC002903)
Source: RNAcentral